This 468-nucleotide ribosomal RNA is filed under the name uncultured bacterium. Its description in RNAcentral is "partial 16S ribosomal RNA". It matches the Rfam family "Bacterial small subunit ribosomal RNA", at positions 28 to 507 of the family's 1533-position model. The record is from RNAcentral.
GACGAACGCUGGCGGCGUGCUUAACACAUGCAAGUCGAACGGAAAGGCCCUGCUUUUGUGGGUUGCUCGAGUGGCGAACGGGUGAGUAACACGUGAGUAACCUGCCCUUGACUUUGGGAUAACUUCAGGAAACUGGGGCUAAUACCGGAUAGGAGCUCCUGCUGCAUGGUGGGGGUUGGAAAGUUUCGGCGGUUGGGGAUGGACUCGCGGCUUAUCAGCUUGUUGGUGGGGUAGUGGCUUACCAAGGCUUUGACGGGUAGCCGGCCUGAGAGGGUGACCGGCCACAUUGGGACUGAGAUACGGCCCAGACUGCUACGGGAGGCAGCAGUGGGGAAUAUGGCACAAUGGGCGGAAGCCUGAUGCAGCAACGCCGCGUGCGGGAUGACGGCCUUCGGGUUGUAAACCGCUUUCGCCUGUGACGAAGCGUGAGUGACGGUAAUGGGUAAAGAAGCACCGGCUAACUACGUG